GCAAGCUUGGCAAAGGUUGUUGAUUUCGGUCUUUCGAGAUUUGUAUUCACAGCUUUUGAUUCUUGAUCACAAGCUGCUGUUGGACGAUCAUGACUCGUGGGGGUUAGAUGUUUAUGGUGAAUCAAUAUGAUGUUGCAUGACACACUGUCCUCGCAUUACGGUAAAUAAUAUUUGAAAGAUUUCUAUAUUGAAGGAAGCAUGGAUUUCUAAUGCUUAAGUUUCCAAUUAGAUAUGAAGGUGACAAGGGGCUUAUGAUAGAUCAAGAGGAAACAAAAUGAAUUGGUAAUGAUAUUUUUUAUAUUGUUGUAAUCAUGUGGCAGGAAUGAAGAGUUUUUUAUUCCUGACUGUCAUGUUAAUCCAUUUCUGAUUGUGAAAGCAGUUUAUUUUAUGAUCCCUUUGCCAAUAAAAUUUAUGAUUAUGCCAAUGGAAUUGCUGCUUUGAGGUCCUUAAAGGUAAUUUCUUUUUUUAUUUGUCAAAGAAUUUUUUGCCUUCACUAUUGAAAGUAUGUUGAUAUAUGUGUUAUGCUUGGUCAUAUGUAUUCAUCUAGAAACCAUGAUCCUAACUCAGCUGUCAUUUAAAGAUUAUCCUGGUAGGUAGGAUCAUACUUUAAUCAGCAUUUUAAAAUUAGGAGCUCUGAACAUAUUGAUAAACAUCCACUAUGAAAAUGAAGUUGCUUUUGAAAUCUCCCUACAGGGAGCAUUUUGCAUGGAUUCAGAAUUGCCGGUCAUCUAGGUUUAUCAUUAUCUAGGG
This is a long non-coding RNA of Vicia villosa (hairy vetch), 750 nucleotides long. RefSeq lists it as uncharacterized. NCBI's taxonomy places the organism in Eukaryota, Viridiplantae, Streptophyta, Magnoliopsida, Fabales, Fabaceae. The transcript has 3 exons. The record is from RefSeq and is a predicted model, not a curated record.